Leptonychotes weddellii (Weddell seal) is the source of this 104-nucleotide small nuclear RNA. The record is from RefSeq and is a predicted model, not a curated record. Lineage: Eukaryota; Metazoa; Chordata; Mammalia; Carnivora; Phocidae.
GUGCUCACUUCAGCAACACAUAUACUGAAGUUGGAACGAUACAGAGAUUAGCAUGGCCUCCGUACAAGGAUGACAUGCAAAUUCGUGGAGCGUUCCAUAUUAAA